GAUGCGUGCUGGGGGAGCCGAAAGGCUGAGAGGAAGCUUAAAUGCUUCGACCCCUCGAACCUGACCGGGAUAAUCCCCGCGUAGGGAAGCACAGAACCGAAAAU
RNAcentral lists this non-coding RNA (104 nucleotides) under Thermovenabulum gondwanense. RNAcentral describes it as "TPP sequence". It matches the Rfam family "TPP riboswitch aptamer (THI element)". Rfam says of the family: Vitamin B(1) in its active form thiamin pyrophosphate (TPP) is an essential coenzyme that is synthesised by coupling of pyrimidine and thiazole moieties in bacteria. The previously detected thiamin-regulatory element, thi box was extended, resulting in a new, highly conserved RNA secondary structure, the THI element, which is widely distributed in eubacteria and also occurs in some archaea. Lineage: Bacteria; Bacillati; Bacillota; Clostridia; Thermosediminibacterales; Thermosediminibacteraceae. The record is from Rfam by way of RNAcentral.